AAUUAUGUACUGAUUUGCAGCAUGGACUGAUGUAUCGAGGGAUCUCCAACUUAAAGGAUUAUCUGAAACACAGGUCAUUACCAGUAAAGCUAAGCAUCUGUACAAAGCAAUCCAGAGGUACAUCAAGCUAAUGUCUACAAAAGGUGUACAGCUUGAGGGUCUCAACUCGGAGCUAAAAAGCAUUGCUGGCAACUUAAACAAGGUCUCUAAAGGAGCAAAGAUAGCUGGCAUAACUGGAGGUGCAUCAUCAGCAGCAGGAGGGGUGGCAGCGGCCGCCGGGGUGAUUCUGGCCCCUUUCACAGCCGGAGCCUCACUGGCACUUACUGUUGUUGGAGCUGGUGUGGUUGCUGCUGGGGGUGUCACCGGUGCAUCAGCAGCCAUUGCAC
Molecule: long non-coding RNA, 386 nt
Organism: Fundulus heteroclitus (mummichog)
Lineage: Eukaryota; Metazoa; Chordata; Actinopteri; Cyprinodontiformes; Fundulidae
Exons: 3
Source: RefSeq, a predicted model, not a curated record